UACAGAGGGUGCAAACGUUGCUCGGAGUUACUGGGCGUAAAGCGCGUGUAGGCGGUUUCGCAAGUCAGGUGUGAAAGCCCAGGGCUCAACCCUGGAAGUGCACUUGAUACUACGGAGCUUGAGUGCUGGAGAGGAGAGCGGAAUUCCCGGUGUAGAGGUGAAAUGCGUAGAUAUCGGGAGGAACACCAGUGGCGAAGGCGACUACCUGGCCUGUUCUUGACGCUGAGGCGCGAAAGCUAGGGGAGCAAACAGG
This 253-nucleotide ribosomal RNA is filed under the name uncultured bacterium. RNAcentral describes it as "partial 16S ribosomal RNA". It matches the Rfam family "Bacterial small subunit ribosomal RNA", at positions 524 to 776 of the family's 1533-position model. The record is from RNAcentral.